This 254-nucleotide ribosomal RNA is filed under the name uncultured bacterium. RNAcentral describes it as "partial 16S ribosomal RNA". It matches the Rfam family "Bacterial small subunit ribosomal RNA", at positions 524 to 776 of the family's 1533-position model. The record is from RNAcentral.
UACGUAGGGUGCGAGCGUUGUCCGGAAUUAUUGGGCGUAAAGGGCUCGUAGGCGGUUUGUCGCGUCGGGAGUGAAAACCAUGGGCUUAACUCAUGGCUUGCUUCCGAUACGGGCAGACUAGAGGCAUGCAGGGGGAGAACGGAAUUCCUGGUGUAGCGGUGAAAUGCGCAGAUAUCAGGAGGAACACCGGUGGCGAAGGCGGUUCUCUGGGCAUGUCCUGACGCUGAGGAGCGAAAGUGUGGGGAGCGAACAGG